Cyprinus carpio (common carp) is the source of this 919-nucleotide long non-coding RNA. RefSeq lists it as uncharacterized. NCBI's taxonomy places the organism in Eukaryota, Metazoa, Chordata, Actinopteri, Cypriniformes, Cyprinidae. The record is from RefSeq and is a predicted model, not a curated record. The transcript is spliced from 4 exons.
AUUACAUUCUGCAGGAAAGAUGUUCUCCUGGACCUGCAUGAGCGACCCUGAUUUAAUGCACUAAAAAGGUUCUUCCUAAUGAGGGCAAUGGAUUGCAGUCUGUCCGUGUUGCCAUGGCGAUGCAGUUUGCAGUCAAUGGAAGUGUGUGGCAGUCAGACUGAAGCAGCAGCAGGGCGCGAGACAGACAGAGACUAAUGCUGGAAACAAAUCAAACCGAGCGCUGAAAACUGCUGCGAUACUCAAAGCGCUACUCAUUCUGAUUAAGCAAGGAUGAAGCCAAAUAUACUGGUCUACAGAGGAAGAUUAAUCCACGUGUGUAAGUUGGUGAAUCUGUUCAUUAGUGUUCACACACCUGUGUCCAUGAAGAGCAUAUCUUCAGAAGAAAUGAUCUGUCAAGGAUACAAAGAAAAAUCAAGGGAUUUUUCUCCUGAGCUACGAGAGAGCAACCUAUAAGCAAUGAAGGUGUCCUUUGUGUAAUUUCCAGCAAUAUGAAAUGCUGUGACACAUUAUAGAGCGUGAAGCUGAGCUGAAGAACUCUUUGUUGUAUUGGAUGGUGUUCACACUAAAUUAAACUGCUGUCGAUGCAGAACUCAAUGUUAAAUUUGGCUCAUCGCAGCUCAUCACAGAUAUAAUAGCCCUCUGUAUGCCAGUAUGUAACUCUUAAAUGCAUGCUUCAUUCAAAAAUGAAAAUUGUCAUCUAUUUACUCACCAUAAUGUUGGUCUUAACCUGUACGAUUUGCUUUCUUCUGUGGAACAUAAGAGAUGUUGGGCAUGAAUGUUUAAGCUGUUGAUUUGCACAAUACAGAAGUUAAUGAGAACUUUAAAGCUCCAAAAAUACAAAGUUCUCAAAUCUCACACCUGUAUGCAAUUCUAACUAAAUUAAAUCUGACAACGAAUCUGUAAUAUGGUUUCUUAUAAA